Molecule: ribosomal RNA, 306 nt
Filed under: uncultured bacterium
Lineage: Bacteria
Description: partial 16S ribosomal RNA
Rfam family: Bacterial small subunit ribosomal RNA
Source: RNAcentral
GACAGAGCAGCCGCGGGAAUACGAAGGGUGCAAGCGUUAAUCGGAAUUACUGGGCGUAAAGCGUGCGUAGGCGGUUUGUUAAGUCUGUUGUGAAAUCCCCGGGCUCAACCUGGGAAUGGCAAUGGAUACUGGCAAGCUAGAGUGUGUCAGAGGAUGGUGGAAUUCCCGGUGUAGCGGCGAAAUGCGUAGAGAUCGGGAGGAACAUCAGUGGCGAAGGCGGCCAUCUGGGACAACACUGACGCUGAGGCACGAAAGCGUGGGGAGCAAACAAGAUUAGAUACCCCCGUAGUCCCUGUCUCUUAUACA